RNAcentral lists this ribosomal RNA (1373 nucleotides) under Microbacterium trichothecenolyticum. Its description in RNAcentral is "bacterial SSU rRNA". It matches the Rfam family "Bacterial small subunit ribosomal RNA". Lineage: Bacteria; Bacillati; Actinomycetota; Actinomycetes; Micrococcales; Microbacteriaceae. The record is from RNAcentral.
UGCAGUCGACGGUGAAGCCAAGCUUGCUUGGUGGAUCAGUGGCGAACGGGUGAGUAACACGUGAGCAACCUGCCCUGGACUCUGGGAUAAGCGCUGGAAACGGCGUCUAAUACUGGAUAUGAGCUCUUACCGCAUGGUGGGGGUUGGAAAGAUUUUUCGGUCUGGGAUGGGCUCGCGGCCUAUCAGCUUGUUGGUGAGGUAAUGGCUCACCAAGGCGUCGACGGGUAGCCGGCCUGAGAGGGUGACCGGCCACACUGGGACUGAGACACGGCCCAGACUCCUACGGGAGGCAGCAGUGGGGAAUAUUGCACAAUGGGCGGAAGCCUGAUGCAGCAACGCCGCGUGAGGGAUGACGGCCUUCGGGUUGUAAACCUCUUUUAGCAGGGAAGAAGCGAGAGUGACGGUACCUGCAGAAAAAGCGCCGGCUAACUACGUGCCAGCAGCCGCGGUAAUACGUAGGGCGCAAGCGUUAUCCGGGAAUUAUUGGGCGUAAAGAGCUCGUAGGCGGUUUGUCGCGUCUGCUGUGAAAUCCCGAGGCUCAACCUCGGGCCUGCAGUGGGUACGGGCAGACUAGAGUGCGGUAGGGGAGAUUGGAAUUCCUGGUGUAGCGGUGGAAUGCGCAGAUAUCAGGAGGAACACCGAUGGCGAAGGCAGAUCUCUGGGCCGUAACUGACGCUGAGGAGCGAAAGGGUGGGGAGCAAACAGGCUUAGAUACCCUGGUAGUCCACCCCGUAAACGUUGGGAACUAGUUGUGGGGACCAUUCCACGGUUUCCGUGACGCAGCUAACGCAUUAAGUUCCCCGCCUGGGGAGUACGGCCGCAAGGCUAAAACUCAAAGGAAUUGACGGGGACCCGCACAAGCGGCGGAGCAUGCGGAUUAAUUCGAUGCAACGCGAAGAACCUUACCAAGGCUUGACAUACACCAGAACACCGUAGAAAUACGGGACUCUUUGGACACUGGUGAACAGGUGGUGCAUGGUUGUCGUCAGCUCGUGUCGUGAGAUGUUGGGUUAAGUCCCGCAACGAGCGCAACCCUCGUUCUAUGUUGCCAGCACGUAAUGGUGGGAACUCAUGGGAUACUGCCGGGGUCAACUCGGAGGAAGGUGGGGAUGACGUCAAAUCAUCAUGCCCCUUAUGUCUUGGGCUUCACGCAUGCUACAAUGGCCGGUACAAAGGGCUGCAAUACCGUGAGGUGGAGCGAAUCCCAAAAAGCCGGUCCCAGUUCGGAUUGAGGUCUGCAACUCGACCUCAUGAAGUCGGAGUCGCUAGUAAUCGCAGAUCAGCAACGCUGCGGUGAAUACGUUCCCGGGUCUUGUACACACCGCCCGUCAAGUCAUGAAAGUCGGUAACACCUGAAGCCGGUGGCCCAACCC